RNAcentral lists this ribosomal RNA (773 nucleotides) under uncultured Neocallimastigales. RNAcentral describes it as "partial large subunit ribosomal RNA". It matches the Rfam family "Eukaryotic large subunit ribosomal RNA", at positions 23 to 632 of the family's 3401-position model. Lineage: Eukaryota; Fungi; Neocallimastigomycota; Neocallimastigomycetes; Neocallimastigales. The record is from RNAcentral.
GAGAGAGACAUGCGCGCAUAUCAAUAAGCGGAGGAAAAGAAACUAACAAGGAUUCCCUUAGUAACGGCGAGUGAAGCGGGAAGAGCUCAAAUUUGAAAUCUUCAAGGUUUUACCUUGACGAAUUGUAGUUUAAAGAAGUGUUUUCUGUUGAAGUUUUGGUAAAAGUUCUUUGGAAUAGGACAUCAUAGAGGGUGAGAAUCCCGUAUUUGACCAUUAUUUUCAGCUGUGUGAUACACUUUCAAAGAGUCGGAUUGUUUGGGAAUGCAGUCCAAAAUGGGUGGUAAAUUUCAUCUAAAGCUAAAUAUUGGCGAGAGACCGAUAGCGAACAAGUACCGUGAGGGAAAGAUGAAAAGAACUUUGAAAAGAGAGUUAAACAGUACGUGAAAUUGUCAAAAGGGAAGCGUUUGACACCAGUGUUGUUUUCUCGAAAAUCAAUUAAAAAAGGCCGGAUUUUGUGUUGUAUUGACCUUAAAAGCUUUCUUCACUCUUUUCUUGUCUUUUUUAAUGCACUUUUCGUUUAACAAGUCAACAUCAGUUUCUUUUGUUGUAAAAGGGUCAUUGGAAGGUGGCUUUCUUUUCGGAGAAAGUGUUUAUAGCCUUUGAUCUCUGCAACCGGAGAGACUGAGGUCUGCAGCGUAGGCUCUUCGGGGUUAGAUACAUUUGUGCUAAGCUAUAGCUUUUUAUAGACAACUUGUUGAUUAUAUUUAGUCUUGUGGCUUACUCGCUUAUGCUAUUUUACCUACGCUUAGGAUGUUGACAGCAGUAUAGACUGU